UCUUAUAAUCAUAGUCCAUUUAUUGGUCUGUCUAAAUCUGAUGCUUGCUCCUAAAAACUCUUCCAGUGAUGGCUGUUAUUGCUCUUCAAGUCAGCAGCCAAACACAUCACCAGAGGACAGCCAGAAAAGAUGUUGGGAUGAUUGCAACCACAGCAAGUCUAGACAACAUGGAUCAAGCUGUGAUUAUAUUAACUUACUGGCUGGUUGGGCUGAGAUACCUUCAUGUCCCCCGAACCAAAGGCAACCAUUUGCACGGUAGCCAUUGCCACACCCAGGCCCACCAAAAGCAAACAACAAAGUAUUUAUUCCACCAUCUCAUGUAAUGCUCAGAGGUGCCUACACAACCUCAGAAUUUGUCACACUGGAACAUUUCAGGAACAUACUUUAUCCCUUCCAAACAAGACUACACUGCAUCCUCAUUACCACCAAGAGAACAGGAAGGAUGGAUGAUGUCAUCCCUUUGGAACUAAACACCAAAUCACCGCCAAGCUUCACUGUCACUGGUACAAAUCAAAGGUGAACAGUACACACAUCAAUAUAAUAAUUCAAAGACACUUUAUUGUGUUACAUAUUAAUGAGAAAUGACGAUGACACGACAUACACUUGAAAAAUGUUAAACAAAUUAUAAUAAAAAUUACAAACAAGAUAAAAAGCCCUAAUGGCUCAGUGAAUUACAAAACAAAUUACAUAAACAAGGCUUAUACCACCUUGAUGCUUAUAUUAAACAAGGAAAUCGGGUGAUGGGGACCACAGACCUGCUGGACAAGUGAACUCAGAUAUUUUGGAGCAAUAAAUCUACCUCUGGCACCUUGUCACACUUCCACAUUUUUGUUCAAUUUCCCCAAAUAUCCUGCCUGCCUGAGGUCACCAUUCUCGUCACUGGCUGUAUGGUGACCUGCCCUGGCUGAAACACUGGGGUAGCAUCACACAUGGUGAUAUACUCCAAUACUUGAGAACUUUGGGUUACUAACUGAUUUCCCAGGAUAAUAACUGAUGUUGCUGCAGUAUAUAAAAUAUACAUAAUGACAAGUGUGGCGUUGACAGCGGAACCAUCCAUUCUAAAAAUAAUAGUAAAAUGUUGUAUGUAAUUAACUGGUGGGUUAACAUUAUUAGUGAUGCCAUUAAGGGAUCACAUCACAUUCUCUCAGCCUUUACAUCAAAACACUACAAACAUACAGUAAAGGUAAUCAAAACAAACUGAUACAUUAGUGCAGCCAUUGCAAUCCACAACCUCUGCAUGCACCAAGGAUGGUCUUCUGUGAGAACAUUAUCACAAGUAUGACAACAUCCCCUUAUAAACUUCCUAUACUGUCUUUCCAGAGCACCCAGUCUGCAGCCCUGACAUGUGGAGCGUCUGCACAGGUGAGGUAGUGAAGCUGUGCCUCAGCUCGUCAGGUAAAGACAUCAGUUAUCUAGAUAGGCAAAAGGUGACCUGCAACUGUGUAACAUUAAGAUAACUUAUGCAAUGGUAAUAUAAAUGAGCUAUUGAUUUUACAUAUAUAGGUUAUAUUUUUCUUUUACUCUAUACCAUAUUCAAUAAGCUAAUAUGUUGCUCUACAACUAUAUUUGAUAAAAAUAAGAAAAUAUAUAAGUAUACUACUGUACUAUUAUAAAUGUGUAUAUAUCUUUUUUUAAUAUUUCAUGCAGAGAUAAUAUAUUUUUCCAAUAGUCAAUACUAUACAUACAGAAUACAGCAUAUCCUAAGCACCAUUACUUUUCAUAAUAAUGAGAAUUUUUCCGGAGAAUUACAUAAAAUAAAAAGACAUUACUGUGCAAUGGAAAAUACAUAUUUCCAUAAUUUGAAUGUACUCACUACUGUACUACUUGAAAAUAAAAUUAUGUACAUUGCCAUCACAUCAAAACAAAACACAUACAUGGAAAUUUGCAAGUACAAGAUCAUAAACCAGACCAUUAACUUCUCACUACAGUUUGCCCCAGUCACUAGUCCACAGCUGUUGUGACACCCUCCAAUGUCAACACCAAGGAGUAACGUGACAGUCAGGAUGGAACAGUCAUUGCAUUACAAUGCUAUAAAUAACAACAAUUACAGUCUCUUAUCUUCCUCUUUAAGCUGGUCUACCUGAUCCUUUACUGUUCACUGAAUGACCACAUACAUGAUAUAUGUUCCUGAAAUUUAUUUAUGGUGCCUCAGUCCCAGACACUUUCCCUGCAGUUAUCUCAGUGCCAAAGUCUAUUAAAGACAAAGAAAGAAAAAAUAAAAGGAUUUUGGUUUGAGAGAGAGAGAGAGAGAGAGAGAGAGAGAGAGAGAGAGAGAGAGAGAGAGAGAGAGAGAGAGAGAGAGAGAGAGAGAGAGAGAGAGAGAGAGAGAGAGAGAGAGAGAGAGAGAGAGAGAGAGAGAGAGAGAGAGAGAGAGAGAGAGAGAGA
This 2385-nucleotide long non-coding RNA is filed under the name Portunus trituberculatus (swimming crab). RNAcentral describes it as "uncharacterized LOC123498027". Lineage: Eukaryota; Metazoa; Arthropoda; Malacostraca; Decapoda; Portunidae. The record is from RNAcentral.